GGCUCCAUAGUGAAGUGGUUAGCGCAUCUGCUUUACAUGCAGAAGGUCCCGGGUUCGCACCUCAGGUGGAGCCA
Pteropus alecto (black flying fox) is the source of this 74-nucleotide non-coding RNA. NCBI's taxonomy places the organism in Eukaryota, Metazoa, Chordata, Mammalia, Chiroptera, Pteropodidae. The record is from Rfam.